UAAAGGGCCGUCGAAGACGUCGGCGUUGAUAGGUUGGGUGUGUAAGCGCUGUGAGGCGUUGAGCUAACCAAUACUAAUUGCCCGUGAGGCUUGACCAUAUAACACCCAAGCAAUU
RNAcentral lists this ribosomal RNA (115 nucleotides) under Pseudomonas syringae. RNAcentral describes it as "partial 23S ribosomal RNA". The stretch from base 1 to 98 matches the Rfam family "Bacterial large subunit ribosomal RNA", at positions 2828 to 2925 of the family's 2925-position model. Lineage: Bacteria; Pseudomonadati; Pseudomonadota; Gammaproteobacteria; Pseudomonadales; Pseudomonadaceae. The record is from RNAcentral.